This 91-nucleotide non-coding RNA is filed under the name uncultured Intestinibacter sp. RNAcentral describes it as "yjdF RNA". It matches the Rfam family "azaaromatic riboswitch aptamer (yjdF RNA)". Lineage: Bacteria; Bacillati; Bacillota; Clostridia; Peptostreptococcales; Peptostreptococcaceae. The record is from RNAcentral.
AUAAAGAUAAAAACACAGUUCUGGUUGGUAGUCCAGACGCGGUAAAUCCGUCAGUAACCUGCCUCCUUGGUUGUCCGUUCUUUAUAUUUAA